UGUGAAUUGCAGAAUUCAGUGAAUCAUCGAAUCUUUGAACGCACAUUGUCGCCUCUUGGUAUUCCGGGAGGCAUGCCUGUUCGAUCGUCAUUAAUAAAGCACUCAAGCUCUUUUGCAUGGUCAUGGCGGCAGAGAGCGGCAACGUUCUCCCCUCCAAAAUUCAAAGGCGGAUUGCNCCACGUGUCCUGGCGUAGUAAGUUUUAUCAUUUCGCUAGGUGAUGUCGUGUGGCCCUNAUCGCAAACCCCCCAUACCUUAACAUGCUGACCUCGGAUCAGGUAGGGAUACCCGCUGAACUUAAGCAUAUCAAUAAGCGGAGGAAG
RNAcentral lists this ribosomal RNA (321 nucleotides) under uncultured Gilkeya. Its description in RNAcentral is "eukaryotic LSU rRNA". The stretch from base 1 to 90 matches the Rfam family "5.8S ribosomal RNA", at positions 66 to 154 of the family's 154-position model. Lineage: Eukaryota; Fungi; Ascomycota; Pezizomycetes; Pezizales; Pyronemataceae. The record is from RNAcentral.